Molecule: non-coding RNA, 85 nt
Organism: Nicotiana attenuata
Lineage: Eukaryota; Viridiplantae; Streptophyta; Magnoliopsida; Solanales; Solanaceae
Source: Rfam
CCUGCUAUGAUGAUAAAACAGACAGGGAUAUCAGCACCCUUUACAGGGGAUGAUGAUUUGUCGAUGGGAAUCUCUCUGAUGCUAA